RNA transcript from Ziziphus jujuba (common jujube), 2116 nucleotides. RefSeq lists it as uncharacterized. The record is from RefSeq and is a predicted model, not a curated record. The transcript is spliced from 11 exons. Lineage: Eukaryota; Viridiplantae; Streptophyta; Magnoliopsida; Rosales; Rhamnaceae.
GAUGGAGUGAAUCACCCGUUAAAUUUUCAAUCCCACGAAGGGCGGAUCUUCGCUUGGCUUGCCCGCGAACUAAAACCAUUACAAUUAACGACCAUCUUAUCGGAAACGGCGUCGUUGGAGCUUACCGAUGAAAAAUCACAAUUAUGUGAGCUGAACAAUAGUUCGACGGUGUCAUUUUACCCGGUCAACCAUAAUUACAAACCGUCAGAUCGACAAAAUCUAGAGGAAUCAACGGUCAGGGAUAGAGAUAAAAAAAGAAAAUUUAUCGAGCAUACGUGUAAGGUAGGGAUUGGCUGAUGGAGAAGACCUCCAUAACCAGUCCCACAGAAAUCCUCUUCGUCUGCCACCGGGUGGCACGAGGUCCGAGUGAGGGAUAAUCGAAGGACUCCCGAAAAGAGAGAAAGGAGUUCGACAAGCAUUUGAUGGGAACCAUUGGUGCUUUCCCUACUACCGCCAUUAGACCUCGAGGACUUGUUGGGCAUUUCCCAAAUCUUUCCCCAUCUUCUUGGUAUUUCACUUCCAAACAACGCUUUAGACUUUCCCUCGCUGUCAAAAAAACCCAGAAUUAUUUCACCGCGACAACAAGCUCGUCGUCAAUGGCUACACCUUCUCUCCAAGUCUCUGCUUCGUCCACCAUUGGUGCAAAAAAUGAAGAACUUGAGGCUUCCUCAUCUGGGUUGGUGGGAGAGAACGACUUGCUGAUUGUUGGACCGGGAGUUCUUGGUCGCUUAGUGGCACAGAAAUGGAGGGAGGAGCAUCCGGGGAGUCAAAUAUAUGGGCAAACUGUGACCACCGAUCACCAUGAGGAGUUGAUUAAAAUGGGGAUUAAUCCAUCUUUGAAGGAUGCAAAUGUGACCCAUAAAUUUCCCUUUGUCAUAUUUUGUGCUCCUCCCUCUAGAAGCUCGGACUACCCUGGUGAUGUUCGGAUAGCUGCAACAAAUUGGAAUGGUGAAGGUUCUUUCUUAUUUACAUCAAGUUCUGCACCAUAUGACUGUUAUGACAAUGGACCAUGUGAUGAGGACACUCCAGUGGUGCCGCUGGGGAGGAGUCCUAGGACAGACAUUCUUCUGAAAGCAGAAAAAGUAGUAUUGGAGUUUGGUGGUUGUGUUGUUAGAUUGGCUGGACUUUACAUAUCCUUUAUGAAAUCAAAUUAUAGAGGUGCACAUGCCUAUUGGUUGGAGAAGGGAAUUGUUGAAUCUCGUCCAGAUCAUGUCCUGAAUCUUAUACAUUAUGAGGAUGCAGCUUCUCUUUCAGUUGCAAUCUUGAAGAAGAGAUUACGUAGCCGAAUUUUCUUGGGUUGUGACAACCAUCCUUUAUCCAGGCAAGAAGUAAUGGACUUGGUUAAUAAAAGUGGGAAAUUCAGUAAAAAGUUCGAGGCUUUUACGGGAACUAGUGAUCCUUUGGGUAAGAGAUUAAACAACUCAAAAACUCGUGAGGAAAUAGGGUGGGAGCCAAAGUACCCCAGUUUUGCUCAGUUCCUUGCGAGCAUUUGAAUACCAGCACGACUAUAUGAUUGUUGGGAAUAGAUGCUGUGCAGGCAGAAGUAUGGGAAAUAUUGGAUUAAGGCGGCUAAAAGUAAUGUUUUUUCAUGGGAAUGCCCGCAAGUUGGCCAGUAUUUGGUCUCAGCAAAUAUUCUUCAACGUGAUGGGACUAAGAUUUGAGAUAAUAAAAAGAAGGGAAAAAAAAAAAAAAAUUAAUGGGCAAGUCUUGCUGCUGGGAUGAUGGUGGUGGUGUUGAUCCAGCAGUACUUCUUAUAGUGGUUGUGCUAGCUCUUCUGGUUAUGUCUGUUUGCAUACCGCCGCAGCCUCGACGUGUAGCCAUUUAUCGCUGUCGCUUUUGAUCUGCCGGCGACCUCUGCCGUUGUUGUGUGCUUUUGUGUCCCUCUUGUUGAUGCUGUAUCCUGGCCUGGCUUUGCAAUAUUUCUAAUACCAAAAGCAUUCAGGUUUUGCCAUUAUUUGUUGUGCAUGAGUUAAUUUAUGAUUUUUCUUUUUUUUUUUUUUCUUGCCCGGAGCAUUGUAUGGUACAGAAAUUAGCAUCCUAAUUUCUUGUUUCCAUAUGUUGUAUUAUUCUUUCUUUUCAGUCCAGUAAACAAUGUUCUUGCCAGUUUCUUUUCAAA